GGAUGUAAUCAAAUUUACUCAAUUACCCAUCUCUAACUUGAUAUCAAAAGGACAUCGACAAAAAAAAAUCUUUGUUUUUUUCGGGUUUCUCUUUCACGAGUCACGACAUCGACAGAAAACUCAGGUGGAGCAAUCUCCGAUCAAGAGUUACCGUCGUCCUAUCUCACUCCAUCAACAUCUCCUCUGUCACAGCCGCCGUCGAUCUCGACAUUUCCUCCUCAAGUAGCCAUCGUGUCUCUUUCAAGUAAACCCUAAAUCCCAAUUUCAACUGUAAUUGCUAAAUCUAUCCAAUUCCAAGUAGUUAUUAACACUUUUUUAACAUAUAUUGUUUGAUUAAGAUGUUUAAUUUCAAAAACCCUGAAUCCCAAUUUCAACAGUAUCUUGGUAGACGUUUUGUGAGUUCUUUACUUCAGUGUUGCUGUUGAGUUUGGUAGAUAUGUCUUGUGAGAAAGAGAUUACUCUUUUCGCUUUAUAUAAGGGAUUAGACCAUUAAAGAAGCCAUAGUUACUCCAUUAGGUUCGUCGUUACUUACUUACUUGGACUCGUGUUUGAAGUAUAGCGUUAUAAUUAUUUGUACUGAGAUUCAGUGUUAUCUUCUUCUCAACUUGAUACCUUUCUCAAUGUGAUCUGAACACUCAAGAUAUCUUAUGAUCUUCCCACUAGCAUUAGCUAAAUUAUUUAUUUCGGUUUUCGUUUUCUUUGUAUAUGGUAGUUGAUAGUGUUCUAUUUGUCAAAACAAAACUUGGCUUUCAUAUUUCACUACUGUGGCUUGUUAUAAUUUGGUUUGUACUGCUUUGUAGAGAAGAAAAUAACGUGUGAAGUGUUUUAUUUUUCAGGUAUGGCUUCUUCCUCGGAUAUGAGAAAAGAUUCUCUUCGUCUGUAUGAGGUUGGAAAAACCCAAUUCAGAAUAUGAGCAUGAACCAUAGUUUUUUUCUGUCCAACAUUCAAAUGGUGGACGAAGCUGUUGGAGAAGAUGUUUUAUCUGAGUUGAGGGAAUCAGCUCUACUAUAGGGCAUCCAUAGUCUUUUCUCGUACUCUGUUCGCAGUUUCUACAUUGUAUGCUUCAUCUGAAGGCUUUUUGUGCUUCUAAUCUUCAGAUAUGAUUGUACAAAUGGCUUAUCAUUGGUUUUUAUCUUUUCACAAUGCUCUGAUUCUGAGCAUCUGUCACUGAGAAAAGUGAGUUCCACGAAGCGAAAAGUUUAAGAGAUAUUUCACAAAUUAUAUUUAGGACGUGUCCUGGAACAAAGUCUAGUGAAACACUUCUGAGCAUAGACAUAUUUAUACAGACAUUCUAGACCGGUGAAAGACCGACUUAUGGUCUCCAUUUUUUCUAAAAAACUUUCAAAUUUGUAAAGAACAUAUAUUUAUACCAACAUUUAUUAAACUUUAUAGUUUUUUUAAACUAAUUUUUUUUUAUAGUUCUCAAAAUUUCAAGAUCGUUCCUGAUUAUAUUGAUGGUUAA
This 1462-nucleotide long non-coding RNA is filed under the name Brassica rapa (field mustard). RNAcentral's name for it is "long non-coding RNA (BRAP_LNC003679)". The record is from RNAcentral. Lineage: Eukaryota; Viridiplantae; Streptophyta; Magnoliopsida; Brassicales; Brassicaceae.